AAAACUUGAUUUGCACGCCCUGUGGAACACGCCGUCACAGAGGCGCAGUGUUUAUAUGUAAGAAUCCACCCAGGUGUACAUCAGACCAGCCCUGUCACAUCACAAGCAAGACAACGAAGUGCAGUGAUUGAGGAUUUUAAUUUCUUCUCCAUUUCAUGAAGAAAUAAACCCAGAAGUGGGACUGAAGGAGAAGCCUAGUCCGGGCUUGAUCCAGGAGAGCCAUGGAGGAAGAUUACAAGAGACCACCACCGUCCUAUGAAGAAGUUAUUACUCAGCAGCACACGAGCAACACUAACCAGAGCUCUCCUGAUAAGACUCGGGGUGCUUGCUGCAGGUGUUGCAUAAGCACCAAAAACUGCCUGAUGAGUCCAGAGUGCGGCCGAGCUCUCAACAUCGCCAGCGUGGUCGCCAUGUGCGGCAUGUGCAUUCGAAUGUUUGUUUAACACAGUCUCUUGUGGACCAUCUUUUCCAGAUCUCUCAUUCAGUGGUGGCCUUCAAAUUAAAAGAGAAACAAAGGCAUUUGCUCUGUUCCAAAACCUGAUCUGCAACAUUUAUAAGCUCUCCCCCAAUGCUAUUCCAAAAAUAGUAAGCAGAGCAGCAUGCAUCAUUCACAUAUAAGGUCAUCUCAGAAUAGAUUGUUAUUAAAAUGUUUUUUUAAAUGGUAAUGUCAAUUUUAAAGUAUUAUACAAUUAUAAACACAAAGUAUAUUUCAAUCAGAUGUUUGGAAAUAUCUUGUGGUUUAAUUCUGUGUUUGUAUUGUAAAGUACUUCUGUAGAUGUAUUUAUGUAUGACAAAGACAUUUCUGCCUUGUGACAAACAGAAUGGACAAUAAAGUUACUCUAAUCUAAAACUCAA
Molecule: long non-coding RNA, 855 nt
Organism: Pimephales promelas (fathead minnow)
Lineage: Eukaryota; Metazoa; Chordata; Actinopteri; Cypriniformes; Leuciscidae
Source: RefSeq, a predicted model, not a curated record